This 323-nucleotide unclassified non-coding RNA is filed under the name Hevea brasiliensis (rubber tree). The record is from RNAcentral. Lineage: Eukaryota; Viridiplantae; Streptophyta; Magnoliopsida; Malpighiales; Euphorbiaceae.
GUUGAAAAAGUUGCUCUCUACGGUCUUAUUGUGGGAAUCUUCUCUCACCUCAAGCUAGCAGAGUAGAAAUUCUUACCGCCUCUCUCGGCCAUGGGAUAUGAAAUAAAAUCUCUUAUUUCUUUCCAUUUUAGUUACAGGAUAGUGCAUAUUUCUCUACUUGAGGAACCUAUAGCUUCAAUGACAAUCCUGCAUGUGUUAAAUGAUGAUGGGUUAUAAUUUGGUUGCUUCAAUCUCUCGUCUUUUGUUUUGUAUCAAUGUCGUUUUAGAAGUCUUUUCUUCAUGGGUCCUCUUCCAAAUUUACAUAGCUUGCUGUUUUGCAGUUG